CGGGUGAGUAACGCGUGGAUAACCUGCCUCACACUGGGGGAUAACAGUUAGAAAUGACUGCUAAUACCGCAUAAGCGCACAGUACCGCAUGGUACAGUGUGAAAAACUCCGGCGGUGUGAGAUGGAUCCGCGUCUGAUUAGCCAGUUGGCGGGGUAACGGCCCACCAAAGCGACGAUCAGUAGCCGACCUGAGAGGGUGACCGGCCACAUUGGGACUGAGACACGGCCCAA
This 231-nucleotide ribosomal RNA is filed under the name uncultured bacterium. Its description in RNAcentral is "partial 16S ribosomal RNA". It matches the Rfam family "Bacterial small subunit ribosomal RNA", at positions 103 to 334 of the family's 1533-position model. The record is from RNAcentral.